UGGGGAAUCUUGCGCAAUGGGCGAAAGCCUGACGCAGCAACGCCGCGUGCGGGAUGAAGGCCUUCGGGUUGUAAACCGCUUUUACCAGGAAGGAAAAUGACAGUACCUGGAGAAUAAGGUGCGGCCAACUACGUG
This 135-nucleotide ribosomal RNA is filed under the name uncultured bacterium. RNAcentral's name for it is "partial 16S ribosomal RNA". It matches the Rfam family "Bacterial small subunit ribosomal RNA", at positions 355 to 507 of the family's 1533-position model. RNAcentral also lists the same sequence under 1 other name. The record is from RNAcentral.